UCAUGACGUUAACUUUCUCUUCCAGUGAUUCACUCUCUGAAGUAUUUCUACACUGCGUCUACUGGAGUCCCAAACUUCCCAGAGUUUGUGUCUGUUGGGUUUGUUGAUGAAGUUGUGAUAGAUCACUAUGACAGUAACACCAGGAGAACAGAACCCAAACAGGACUGGAUGAACAAAGUCACAGAUGAUGAUCCUCAGUACUGGGAGAGAGAGACUGAGAUCUUUAAAGAUUCCCAGCAGACCUUCAAAUCCAACCUUGAAGUUGUAAAGCAGCGCUUCAACCAAACUGGAGAUGUCCACAUUUACCAGUGGAUGUAUGGCUGUGAAUGGGACGAUGAGACUGAGGAGGUUAAAGGUUAUGAACAGUUUGGUUAUGAUGGAGAAGACUUCAUAUCAUUGGACCUGAAGACAGAGACAUGGGUCGCUCCAAAACCACAGGCUGUCAUCACCAAACACAAGUGGGAUAAUAACAAAGCUUGGAUAGCACAGACUAAACACUACCUCACCAAGAUUUGUCCUGAGUGGCUGAAGAAGUAUGUGAACUAUGGGAGGAGCGUUCUGCUGAGAACAGAGCUUCCCUCAGUGUCUCUCCUCCAGAAGACUCCCUCCUCUCCAGUCAGCUGCCACGCUACAGGUUUCUACCCUGACAGAGCCACACUGUUCUGGAGGAAAGAUGGAGAGGACCUUCAUGAGGACGUGGACCUCGGAGAGAUCCUCCCCAACCACGAUGGAACCUUCCAGAUGAGUGCUGACCUGAAACUUUCAUCAGUCCCACCUGAAGACUGGACGAGGUACGACUGUGUGUUUCAGCUCUCUGGUGUGAAGGACGACCUCGUCACCAGACUGGACAAAGCAGUGAUCAGGACCAACAGAGAGCUUCCCUCAGUGUCUCUCCUCCAGAAGACUCCCUCCUCUCCAGUCAGCUGCCACGCUACAGGUUUCUACCCUGACAGAGCCACACUGUUCUGGAGGAAAGAUGGAGAGGACCUUCAUGAGGACGUGGACCUCGGAGAGAUCCUCCCCAACCACGAUGGAACCUUCCAGAUGAGUGCUGACCUGAAACUUUCAUCAGCUGAAGAUCGGACGAGGUACGACUGUGUGUUUCAGCUCUCUGGUGUGGAAGACCUCGUCACCAAACUGGACAAAGCAGUGAUCAGGACCAACAGAGAGAAAGAGAAGCCCACUGACAUGACCGUCCCCAUCAUCGCUGCAGUGGUUGUUCUUGCUCUCGUCCUCAUCGCUGUGAUUGGAGUCGUCAUUUAUAAAAAGAAGAACGUCUUGUCUUUUUAUUUCAGCCAAACGCCCUCCAUCUCCUGUAAACAACGCUGAGGUCUUGGAGGAACUGAAUCCAGGAUCCUAAAUGAUGAACACACCAGCCUGCACACAGUUUAUGGAUACAUUCUGCACUGGAUCAAGGAGCGGUGCCACAUUCUCCUCCCUAAACUGGGAAUUCAUUGGUUAUUCUUCAUUCAUAUCAUAAACUGGUGGAAUCAGGGUUGGGAAUUUAUUUGUAGUUGAUUGGAAUACAAAGAAAACUAAUUAGAAAAAAAUACAAAUAUUAUCAAACAUAAAUGGAGACAUUAAAUUAUUUGGAUUAUUUAGUUUCAUUAAAAAAAAAAGUGUCAUUUCCUCUGAUAAAAUAUUUGUUUAAAUGUUGGUAAAUCAAAUGAGGAUGAUUAUUUUUGGAGAGAAGUAAAACAAUGAAAGCAUCACAGAACUCUUCAUACAUAAUAAAGACUAAACAAUAAAUCCACCAUAGUUACAGUUUGAUGCUUCUGCUGUUGGGGUUUUCUGCUUAGUGGUAACACAAACGUUAAUUUACAGAUAUAGACACCAUAGAAAUAUUUCUAUGAUAGACACACACACACAUCCACGUACACUCAGGUCUGUCAAUAUGAUGAUAUAUAUACCUAGAGAUAACAGAUAGUCAAUACUGCUAAUCAAUCAGCAGCAUCCAGUGAUGAUCCCCUAUGCACACACACACACACACACACACACACACACACACACACACACACACAAUAGAAACAUCAGUGCAACAUUUAUUAUCCAGUUGUGUAAAUAGUUUGUUUGAUUAUUUCUGAAUUUUGAAGAUCUUGUUUUUCCAAAGCAAAUAAUAAUCCAUGUCUUUGAGGUUUUUCUUAAUUAAUCAGGAGUGUGUUGUUGUUUCAUAAUAUCUGUUGAUCUGUUUUGACACAUUAAUAUAUUUUAAUGUUAGCUGAGCUUCUAAAGGGUUGUGGGAUGUUUGAAGUUUCUCAGCACACUGAUAGAAAUGUUGUUGUAAAUGUAAACAGCGAUGCUCAAAAUCACGUCUUGUGUUGGGUUAAGUCAGCGGUCAGCAACCUGCGUCUCUUUAGCCCCUCUCCAGUGGCUUUGACAACAAAAAUAUAUAUGGAAAUGAAUAACAGUUAUUUUUUAAACAUCAUUGUUGUAGACCUAAAGUGUGUCUUACAUUCUCUAAUUUAAAAAAAAAUAUAUAUAUAUGUAGCCUAUACACUGAAUAAAAAUGUCAUCACUUCAAUCAACUAAAACGUGCAUCAUAGCCUAUGUAUGUUUGUCUUCAGCCCGGCGCCUUAUCCUCUAAUUUUGCUGAACCUUAAUAGCUCAAUAGGCUCGCUGUCGAUUCCAAAUCCCAAAGAACAAAAGUCUCUGAGUAAUUUAAUAGUGCGCGGACAGAUUCAACAAUAAAACAGUAAUAUUGAAAGACAUCUUCAGAAGAAGCUCACUGCAUCUGCUGAAUAUAUUCCAGCAGGAGCUUCCAGCCAAAUGUCCUGCGUCUCUUUUGGACUUGUGUCCUCACUGCAUUAGACUUAACAGUCUGUGUUUCCUUUGAUAGUAAAGGUUGCUGACCCCUGGGUGAACUAGAUGAACGUGAAUGAAGUUGCUCUGCUGUUUUACUCCUUUUGUACUGUUUUGCUUUUCAAUAAAUUGGCCAAAAUUACAAA
Sebastes umbrosus (honeycomb rockfish) is the source of this 2945-nucleotide RNA transcript. It is a transcript of the gene named class I histocompatibility antigen, F10 alpha chain-like, with no coding region annotated. The transcript is spliced from 8 exons. NCBI's taxonomy places the organism in Eukaryota, Metazoa, Chordata, Actinopteri, Perciformes, Sebastidae. The record is from RefSeq and is a predicted model, not a curated record.